Molecule: ribosomal RNA, 497 nt
Filed under: uncultured bacterium
Lineage: Bacteria
Description: partial 16S ribosomal RNA
Rfam family: Bacterial small subunit ribosomal RNA
Source: RNAcentral
GAUGAACGCUGGCGGCGUGCCUAAUACAUGCAAGUCGAGCGAACAGACGAGGAGCUUGUUCCUCUGACGUUAGCGGCGGACGGGUGAGUAACACGUGGAUAACCUACUUAUAAGACUGGGAUAACUUCGGGAAACCGGAGCUAAUACCGGAUAAUAUAUUGUACCGCAUGGUUCAAUAGUGAAAGACGGUUUUGCCGUCACUUAUAGAUGGAUCCGCGCCGCAUUAGCUAGUUGGUAAGGUAACGGCUUACCAAGGCAACGAUGCGUAGCCGACCUGAGAGGGUGAUCGGCCACACUGGAACUGAGACACGGUCCAGACUCCUACGGGAGGCAGCAGUAGGGAAUCUUCCGCAAAGGGCGAAAGCCUGACGGAGCAACGCCGCGUGAGUGAUGAAGGUCUUCGGAUCGUAAAACUCUGUUAUUAGGGAAGAACAAAUGUGUAAGUAACUAUGCACGUCUUGACGGUACCUAAUCAGAAAGCCACGGCUAACUACGUG